This 207-nucleotide ribosomal RNA is filed under the name uncultured bacterium. RNAcentral describes it as "partial 16S ribosomal RNA". It matches the Rfam family "Bacterial small subunit ribosomal RNA", at positions 568 to 774 of the family's 1533-position model. The record is from RNAcentral.
UGCGUAGGCGGGUCUUUAAGUCAGGGGUGAAAUCCUGGAGCUCAACUCCAGAACUGCCCUUGAUACUGAAGAUCUUGAGUUCGGGAGAGGUGAGUGGAACUGCGAGUGUAGAGGUGAAAUUCGUAGAUAUUCGCAAGAACACCAGUGGCGAAGGCGGCUCACUGGCCCGAUACUGACGCUGAGGCACGAAAGCGUGGGGAGCAAACA